Molecule: transfer RNA, 73 nt
Filed under: Micralestes sp. NM-2010
Lineage: Eukaryota; Metazoa; Chordata; Actinopteri; Characiformes; Alestidae
Description: tRNA-Thr
Rfam family: tRNA
About the family: Transfer RNA (tRNA) molecules are approximately 80 nucleotides in length. Their secondary structure includes four short double-helical elements and three loops (D, anti-codon, and T loops). Further hydrogen bonds mediate the characteristic L-shaped molecular structure. tRNAs have two regions of fundamental functional importance: the anti-codon, which is responsible for specific mRNA codon recognition, and the 3' end, to which the tRNAs corresponding amino acid is attached (by aminoacyl-tRNA synthetases). tRNAs cope with the degeneracy of the genetic code in two manners: having more than one tRNA (with a specific anti-codon) for a particular amino acid; and 'wobble' base-pairing, i.e. permitting non-standard base-pairing at the 3rd anti-codon position.
Source: RNAcentral
GUCCUAGUAGCUUAAUCAAUAAAGCGUCGGUCUUGUAAUCCGAAGAGUGAAGGUUUAAUUCCUUCCUAGUACC